Molecule: ribosomal RNA, 439 nt
Filed under: Aeromonas sp. CSeA15_46
Lineage: Bacteria; Pseudomonadati; Pseudomonadota; Gammaproteobacteria; Aeromonadales; Aeromonadaceae
Description: bacterial SSU rRNA
Rfam family: Bacterial small subunit ribosomal RNA
Source: RNAcentral
GGGUGAGUAAUGCUGUAGGAAGCUGCCCGAUAGAGGGGGAUACCAGUUUGGAAACGACUGUUAAUACCGCAUAAUGUCUACGGACCAAAGUGUGGGACCUACGGGCCACAUGCUAUCGGAUGCGCCUACGUGGGAUUAGCUAGUUGGUGAGGUAAUGGCUCACCAAGGCGACGAUCUCUAGCUGGUUUGAGAGGAUGAUCAGCCACACUGGAACUGAGACACGGUCCAGACUCCUACGGGAGGCAGCAGUGGGGAAUAUUGGACAAUGGGCGCAAGCCUGAUCCAGCCAUGCCGCGUGUGUGAAGAAGGCCUUCGGGUUGUAAAGCACUUUCAGCGAGGAGGAAGGGUGGUGUGUUAAUAGCACAUCAUUUUGACGUUACUCGCAGAAGAAGCACCGGCUAACUCUGUGCCAGCAGCCGCGGUAAUACAGAGGGUGCAA